AGCAGCCGCGGUAAUUCCAGCUCCAAUAGCGUAUAUUAAAGUUGUUGCAGUUAAAAGCUCGUAGUUGAAUUUCGGGAUCAAUAUGUUGGUCGUGCCUCGGUACGUACUAGCAUAUUGGUUUCUCCUUUCUGAAGAACCAUGAUGUCAUUUAUUUGGUGUCGUGGGGAAUCAGGACUGUUACUUUGAAAAAUUAGAGUGUUUAAAGCAGGCUCACGCUUGAAUACAUUAGCAUGGAAUAAUGAAAUAGGACGUUUGAUUCUAUUUUGUUGGUUUCUAGGAUCGACGUAAUGAUUAAUAGGGAUAGUUGGGGGCAUUAGUAUUCAAUUGUCAGAGGUGAAAUUCUUGGAUUUAUUGAAGACUAACUACUGCGAAAGCAUUUGCCAAGGAUGUUUUCAUUAAUCAAGAACGAAAGUUAGGGGAUCGAAGACGAUCAGAUACCGUCGUAGUCUUAACCAUAAACUAUGCCGACUAGGGAUCGGAUGAUGUUAAUUUUUUAAUGUA
Molecule: unclassified non-coding RNA, 501 nt
Filed under: uncultured Glomus
Lineage: Eukaryota; Fungi; Glomeromycota; Glomeromycetes; Glomerales; Glomeraceae
Description: SSU rRNA
Rfam family: Eukaryotic small subunit ribosomal RNA
Source: RNAcentral